UGGGGGAUAUUGCACAAUGGAGGAAACUCUGAUGCAGCGACGCCGCGUGAGUGAAGAAGUAUUUCGGUAUGUAAAGCUCUAUCAGCAGGGAAGAUAAUGACAGUACCUGACUAAGAAGCCCCGGCUAACUACGUGCCAGCAGCCGCGGUAAUACGUAGGGGGCAAGCGUUAUCCGGAUUUACUGGGUGUAAAGGGAGCGUAGACGGAACGGCAAGUUUGAAGUGAAAUACCCGGGCUUAACCCGGGAACUGCUUUGAAAACUGUCGAUCUAGAGUGUCGGAGAGGUAAGUGGAAUUCCUGGUGUAGUAGUGAAAUGCGUAGAUAUUAGGAGGAACACCAGUGG
RNAcentral lists this ribosomal RNA (343 nucleotides) under uncultured Oribacterium sp. RNAcentral describes it as "bacterial SSU rRNA". It matches the Rfam family "Bacterial small subunit ribosomal RNA", at positions 355 to 715 of the family's 1533-position model. Lineage: Bacteria; Bacillati; Bacillota; Clostridia; Lachnospirales; Lachnospiraceae. The record is from RNAcentral.